CAGUGGCUGCGGCAGCUCCGGGAGCCGGAGGGACGGGGCCGGGCGGCCGGCGACCGCCGCGCUCCCCUGACCUGCGUGCCCCGCUGGCCGCACCGGGCUGCCCCAAAGGAUGUCCGCCCAGUCCAAGGGGACCGCAUCCUCCUCCUCUUCGCCGUCCGAGGGGCCGCCGGCAGCCUCCAAAGCCAAGGUGAAGGAGCAGAUCAAGAUCAUCGUGGAGGAUUUGGAAUUAGUCCUGGGGGACCUGAAGGAUGUCGCCAAGGAACUUAAGGAGGUGGUUGACCAAAUUGACACACUGACGUCUGAUCUGCAGCUGGAGGAUGAGAUGACAGACAGUUCCAAAACAGACACACUUAACAGCAGCUCUAGCAGCACAACAGCUUCCAGCUUGGAGAAAGUCAAGGUGCGCGGCAAUCCCCCUCUCAUCAAGCCGCCUGCGCACCCCUCUGCCAUCCUCACCGUGCUGCGGAAGCCAAACCCACCUCCGCCUCCACCACGACUGACGCCUGUCAAGUGUGAUGAACCUCCCAGGCCGCCUCCUUUGGCCAACCCAGUCAAGACGAAUGGCACCCUGCUGCGAAAUGGGGGCUUGCCAGUUGGGCCCAGCCGCAUCCCAAAUGGAGAUGUGUGCUGUAUACCGAACAAUAAUUUGGAGAAGGUCGUGGUGCAGCCUCUGAUGCACAGACCUGAGAAAGAGCGGUGUCCUCAGCCGGGAGCAAGGGAACGGGUACGAUUUAGUGAAAAAGUGCAGUACCACGGCUAUUGCCCUGACUGUGAUGUUCGGUAUAACAUUAAAAACAGGGAGGUGCACUUGCACAGUGACUCGACCCGUGUUCCUGGAAAGCUGCCACACCAGUGCCCUCCUCUGCCACCUCCACCACCUCCACUGCCUCCAUUUCCUCUGGAAAAUGGAGGGUUGGGGAUAAGUCCCAGUAAUAGCUUUCCUCCUCCAAGACCUGCAACUGUGCCUCCACAAACUGCACCAAAACCCCAGAAGACCAUCUUGAGGAAAUCAACCACUACAACAGUGUGAAGUAUGCCACUUGUAAUAACUCUUUAUUUUUUCCUAUAUAUAAACAUAAAUAGGUAAUGAGCACUUUCUACUUGAGCAAUAAAAAGACCCAAUGUAUUACUCCCUGUGUCCAGUGGAGUGGCAUAAAAAUCACAUGCACCUUCAGGCUUGAAGGAACACCUAUAUUUGGAGGCACGUCAGUUAAUUUGUUGCAUAUCAGAUUCAUCAUUGUGACUUCUUGCAGGCCAGAUCUGAGAAGUAACCAGGAACGUGAUCCUUAGUGGAGAAUGGAAGAGCCCUUCAAGUGAGAGCACAACUGGUCACUAAUGUAAUCUACAUUGAGUCAUCUUUCUCAGAUCUGACAGCUACAAGCUGAGUCCUGGCAAAAGCCACAGCCUUAAAUUCCAUUCAGUGGGAAAGAAGGAUGAGAGAACUAAAUGUCUUGCCCCAUUGCAGAGACCACUGUCUCCAAGCCUGACACCUGAGUUCUGUGCUGAGCAACCAGAGUAACAAACAGUGAGGUCUUUUAUGAGUACAGCCAGCAUCCACAAAUAUUUCAAUAUGUAGCCAAAAGGAGAAAUGAAGCACUUGUGAUAUCAGAAAAUGAAUACAUUUACUAUAACAGAGGAGUGUUGCUGUCUGUGGGGAAAGAAGACCUCUGUCAUCCCUUGUACAUAUUCAAAGCCAUACAGGAACAGGGCAUCAGUGAAGUUAAAUCACUUAGAAGGAUGCUGUUUCCUGUCCUCCACCCAACUUUGAGGAAGUUCCGCUGUUAGAGAUUGCAUCGCAAUGCACUUCUAGUAUUUGCACUGUCACUUCCAUUCAGGGUAACGAUGUGUGCCACCAUUUGCACAGAUGGCCCCAGGAGAUUUUUGACCACAAGCUAUACUUUGCUGGGGCUCCAAAAGGAAUUAAAAAGUUAGAACUGAAGAAAGACAUUUAUGCUCUCUUUCACUAUGGGGAUCUCUUCACAGAAAGGACUAUGGUCCUUUCUUAGGAUUAAAUAAAUACAUGCAUAUACAUACAUAUAUAUAUAUGUAUAUAUAUGAAGAAGCAUCAACAUGAUAAGGUGUAUUUAAAAAGGGGAUAUAAUCUUUUUUAAUAGUAUCCAUUUUUUUUUAUCAUAUUAGCAGCCAAGAAAUUUAGUCUAUUGAAUUAUACAUCCAAAAUGUUCCUAUCAAACAUUGACAUUUUAGUCCCAGUUACUGUUAAAGAAGUCAUUUGUAAUAUGUACUUGACAUUAAAUUUUUCUAGCCAUUUGUCUAUACUUCAUGGAGAAAUCUAACAGACAAGCAGCGUUUUCAUUUUAUUUUUCUAAAUAAAUAUGUUGUUUGUAUUAUUUGCAGUCACUCAUUUUGGCUGGUUUUCAUUAUCUCCAAAAGUGAUUUAAAGACAGAACCAAAACACAGAAAUUGUUUGUUCUUGUUAAGCUGUAAUGAUUUGCUGAAUGAAAGCUUUAAUAUAAAUACUGUAAUUUGUAAAAUGAUGAAGUAUAUUUAUAUAGGCAAGUAUGUAUGGAAAACAAAAGGAGGUAUUUUAACUCUUAAUUUCAGAACAUAGUUUAUUUUAAUAACCACAGGAAGAAAUUAAAUAUAUAAUGGUUAGGGGUUUUUUUAUAAAAUCAGUGGAUUUUAGUAAGUGAAGAUUUGGAUGUUUAAGAAUGACAUGAAUGUAGUCUAAUAAUGGUGGUUUCCCAAAUUAUACAGAGACCUUUUGUCAGCUGUCUCAUUUUAUUCAAAAACUGGUUUAGUUUUUUGGGGAGUUGGCGGUUUUUUAGGGUGCAUGUGUGCUAGCAUUUUUGUUUGGUUUUUUGUUUGUAUUAGCGUACUGACAAGACCAUGAAGUUGAUACUAUUUGAUAGUAAUUUGAAAAGCUACAGAAUAAGAGGUUGUUCCUUAGGAUGAUCUACACUUUACAGUUAAGAACAGUCAUUGUUAUCCAUCUAAUGCAGUGGUUUGUUGUACAGUUAUUGAACAUUUCAAUGCUAGAGCUGUUUUGAAUAAAAACUUUUUUUUUUCAUUUUUUUUCUUAGUCCAUUAGCCUGUGUGUAAUUUUAAGAGAAAAGUAAUGCAUUUGGUUCCCAGUUCACUCAAAUCGUUCAUCUUAAAUCCAGUCAUAUGUAUCUGAUUUAUAAAGCGGAAUAGGUUUUUCUUUUAUUUUAUUGCUUCAUGGAAUCUAUUAAGUGCUCACUAACAGAAAAAAAUAUCUUUCAAAAAAAAUUAAUCUGUGGUUAACUUUGUAAAGGGCAAAUAUCUUAAAAAUGUGUUGCUCUGCUCUAAUGUACUAACCAGUGUAUGCGUGUAUGUUUGUGUGUGUGUGCACGCAUGCGCACCCUUACCUGCUCAUGAAUGAAAUGCCAGCUCUGCUGAAGUAAGUGCCACAAGUCCUGUUUCUGCAAAAGAUGCUCAUAUUACUGUAUUUUUUGGUGAAAGACCUGGGCUCUGUCUUUGCUUGUGACUCUGAAGCCAUAAACAGCUUUUGAAGUUUGUCAGGAAAUCAGAAAAUGAAAUAAUAAGUUUAUAUUAGACUCCGUCAUUUGGCAAAACUUGGGAUGAUCUGAUGAUAUGACUCUUUUCUUUUAAAGAAAGUUAGUGGUCAAUUUCCAUUGGUGCAAUGGAUAAAUGAAACCUUUUUUGUAUUUGUUAAAGAAUGAUGGUUGUGUUUUGUUCACACACAAUUUAGCUUUCCAGUUGGCUUACAAUCUUGUUACUAUGAUGUCAUUUCUGUGUCAUUAGAAUACCUUGUUUGGACACACGACUUGCAUGGGCUUGGUUUUGCUCCCUCUUUUGAUAACCUAUACUUUAAAAUUGGAAAGUUCGUUCUUUGAAACUAGUAUUCAGAGUUGUUUAAGAAAGGGGCAACAUUACUGAAACAGUAAGAAAAUUUCAGAAUACUAAUUUGAAGACUUCCAUUAUUGCCUAAUGAUAAAACUUGGAAAGCUCUUAUUUUUGUGAACAAAAUGCAUUCGUUUAUAUCUGAAAAUAGCCCAAUAAAAAUCUAGUGAAAUAAUUUGUUACUACUUGCAAAUAUUUUUCUGCUAUUCUGAGUUCUAGAUCAGCUUGUUUGUAAAAUUUUUAUUGCACAAAACCCACCUGAUACAAUGUACAGUUUUCUUCAGAAAAAUACAUGAGAUAUGAAAAAUAAUGACCUGGUCCCAGAUAUGAUUUUAUAUAAUCUGUGUAAUGCAAAAAUAAUGCACAUAUACCAGCACGUAGGCCUAAUUUAAUGACAAAUGUAGUUGGAAUAUAACACUGCAAACCACAGUUCUGAUCAGUCACGCGUUGUUUGGAGCUCUGCUUAACUGGGACUUCAUGCUGGAAGUGUGUGCACAUCUAUGUGCACACACAUGCACUGUUAUGUAUCAUGUUUUAUUCUACUACCAGUGACACUGGGAUAAAUCUGGAUUGCAUGAUUUUUGUAGAUUUAAAUUAAAUCUUUAGGUGAGUAUUUAAUAUUGGAUAUAAAUUGAGCUGAUGUCUGUAUACUAUGCAGAUACUCACCUGAGAUAACACCUCGACACAAGAUUUCAGAAAUUGUUGACAAAUAAUUAGCACUGAAAUGCUUUUUCAAAAAGUUUAAAACCAGAGCAGACAAUUAGAUUAUCUCAUUAAACAAUAAAAAAUUUGUUUUGUUUCCCUUGUCUUAGUCUAAGCAUAUUGACAAGACCAACAGAACUUUUUUCAACUAAUAUGAUGUUAUGAUGACUGGUUGGUCCUUUUGUAGGCUUAUGUGUGUUUUGUGUAUAAGAAGCGCCUGAAGGUACGGUUCUAGAGUAAUAGUGCAUUAUUUCAUUACCUGGCAUCUGAAAAGGCACCUGAAGCAGCCAAUAGGCUUGAAAUGCUGAGAUGCGCAAAGAAAAAUGCUGACAGUUCUGGAUGUGUCUACAAGACAUACUUUCAGCACUUGAAUUUUUUUAAAAGACGAGGACCACCAUCAUUCAUGAAAAGAAUACGGACGUGUUAAAAUAGCUAUUUUGUAAAAUGGAAGCAAAAGAUUACAGAAAUCUGGUGAUCACCAGAAUGUUAUAAAAGUGUCCCUUUCCUGACUCAAACGAUCACCCCAAGUGUCACAUGGCAUGAAUAUUCCCAAGGGACAGAUUUUUUUCUGCGAUCGGUGGUGUGCUGGGUCCACAGCAAGGCAAUGAUGCUGUAAAUAAGACCUGACCACAGGUUAAGUGGUAGGCUGCUGUCUGAGGAGGGGUGGAAGAAGGACAGCCAUUGCUCUGCUCUGGAGCUCCCAUUGAAGGUAGGAGGCUGUUACUGAGGCUGGAUCUUACAGAGAAAAUUAGCUGAACAGAGUGACUCAUACAUUACGGUAAGAUUGCUUAGAGGACUGCUGAGACUAAAUUAAUGAUUUUCAUGGGCUGGAUAGUUGAAGAUCCCAUAAGAGAAGAAGUAAAAGCCAGGUGGAUGUGGUUCAAAUUACUUCAGCUGAAUUUCUCUCUAGAUUCAAUAGACUUGCAGGGCUGUAAAGAAGCCAAAAAAUCUCCCAACAGUUGGGCUCAACUUGAGAAAGGACAAUUAUAAGCAGGGACUCCUGUCAGAGAAAACCUGGAAGGAAUACUAAGAGAGUUAAGUCAUAGCAGAUGGCACAGAGACUAUUUAAGGUGGUGUAUCGAAGGCAGAGAGCAAAUACAUCCUGCUUAGCAAGAAAGGAUUGAGAAAGGGUAAAAGGGAAACGCAUGGCUAAGUAGCAGGGUGUCAGAGGCUGCUUAGGGCAAGAAGACAUCCUUCAGAUAGCUGAAGAUUUUUAAAGAAAAUGUAAGGACUAUAAGAUUAUUAAGACGAUAAGUAGGUAAAUAAAUAAAUAAAUACCACAGCAUGGUUAAUCAAAACAAUUGCAAGAUACAUAAGAGAUUUGUUGACUAAAAUAGUUGCAAGAAACAUAAGAGUUAAGAAGUUCUAUUUCUACAACAGAGCAGAGGGAAGUCUGGCAAAAAGUCUGUAAUGCCGAAAGAUAAUCAAGGAAAACAGUAGCACUUGGAAGAAGUUAUAGGGAAAAAAUUGUCUUAAGUUUUCAAUUCUGCUUGUUCCCUAAAAGGGCUUUGGCAGAUUCUUACACAUAAACUUUUCCCUGUGGAGGAACUCAUAUGGCUUUGUCAGUGUGAGGUGUUACAAAACAAAAUAAAGAGGUACACAUCUAAGAUUUUUAAAGGCACUCAGGGACAGAAUAGUCAAAAUGAUAACUGUGGUAUGAAAUUAAUUUUAUAAAAUUAUUUUGAUAGCUUUUGAGAUGUGAGAUCACAACUAUAUUCCAAUUUUAAAAUAAAUUUCAGAAAGGUUGAAAGAAGAGUAUAGACAAUUAGAUCAGUACUGGGCAAAACAGCUGAAACUAUAGUAAUAUUUCUUUGAAAAGAACUAGAAGGUGUUUAACAGUGUCAAUAAUACCAAACACUGCAGGAAAUUGCACAGCUAGCUAAGAGAAAACACAGAGAAAACUGCAGCUGCCUAAGAGGAAAGGGCUGCAUUCAUUAAAAAAAAAUGUAAAAUAUGGGAGAAAAUGGUGAUUUUGCUCAGUUUUUGCAGUGGACAGAGGCCAUGAGUGAAGUUUCAUGGGGCAUGUACUGGGAUCCAUGCAUCUCUAAAUAUAUUUGAACAUGUGAAUAUGCUGGAAAAGUAGUGUAUAGUUAUUUGGUAAAUUUGUUGGUCAUACUAAAUUAUUAAAAGUAUUAAAUAUGA
Molecule: RNA transcript, 6687 nt
Organism: Pipra filicauda (Wire-tailed manakin)
Lineage: Eukaryota; Metazoa; Chordata; Aves; Passeriformes; Pipridae
Gene: PRR16
Gene name: proline rich 16
Exons: 3
Source: RefSeq, a predicted model, not a curated record